This 189-nucleotide unclassified non-coding RNA is filed under the name uncultured Herpotrichiellaceae. Its description in RNAcentral is "sequence contains ITS1". The record is from RNAcentral. Lineage: Eukaryota; Fungi; Ascomycota; Eurotiomycetes; Chaetothyriales; Herpotrichiellaceae.
CCGAGUUAAGGUCCGCUGGGCCCGACCUCCUACCCUUUGUCUACCUUACCUCUUGUUGCUUCGGCGGAUCCGUCCCUCAAAGGGACCGCCGGGGAGUUCUCAAAAGCUCUCUGGCCCGCGUCCGUCGAUGGCCUACAAUUCGAACUCUUGCUUAAACGUGUCGCCUGAGUCUUAAACAAAAAUAAUUAA